This 445-nucleotide ribosomal RNA is filed under the name uncultured bacterium. RNAcentral describes it as "partial 16S ribosomal RNA". It matches the Rfam family "Bacterial small subunit ribosomal RNA", at positions 354 to 796 of the family's 1533-position model. The record is from RNAcentral.
GUGAGGAAUAUUGCGCAAUGGAGGCAACUCUGACGCAGCCAUGCCGCGUGCAGGAAGAAGGCGCUACGCGUUGUAAACUGCUUUUAACCGGGAAGAAACCCCAGGACGUGUCCUGGGUUGACGGUACCGGAGGAAUAAGCACCGGCUAACUUCGUGCCAGCAGCCGCGGUAAUACGAAGGGUGCAAGCGUUAUCCGGAUUCAUUGGGUUUAAAGGGUGCGUAGGCGGAGCGUUAAGUCAGUGGUGAAAUCCUGCAGCUUAACUGUAGACUUGCCAUUGAGACUGGCGCUCUUGAGUGCGCUUGAAGGGGGCGGAAUGUGCCGUGUAGCGGUGAAAUGCUUAGAUAUGGCACAGAACACCAAUUGCGAAGGCAGCUCACUAAGGCGAUACUGACGCUGAGGCACGAAAGCGUGGGGAUCGAACAGGAUUAGAUACCCGGGUAGUCC